AUUGAACGCUGGCGGCAGGCCUAACACAUGCAAGUCGAGCGGAUGAAGGGAGCUUGCUCCUGGAUUCAGCGGCGGACGGGUGAGUAAUGCCUAGGAAUCUGCCUGGUAGUGGGGGAUAACGUCCGGAAACGGGCGCUAAUACCGCAUACGUCCUGAGGGAGAAAGUGGGGGAUCUUCGGACCUCACGCUAUCAGAUGAGCCUAGGUCGGAUUAUCUAGUUGGUGGGGUAAAGGCCUACCAAGGCGACGAUCCGUAACUGGUCUGAGAGGAUGAUCAGUCACACUGGAACUGAGCCACGGUCCAGACUCCUACGGGAGGCAGCAGUGGGGAAUAUUGGACAAUGGGCGAAAGCCUGAUCCAGCCAUGCCGCGUGUGUGAAGAAGGUCUUCGGAUUGUAAAGCACUUUAAGUUGGGAGGAAGGGCAGUAAGUUAAUACCUUGCUGUUUUGACGUUACCAACAGAAUAAGCACCGGCUAACUUCGUG
This 484-nucleotide ribosomal RNA is filed under the name uncultured bacterium. Its description in RNAcentral is "partial 16S ribosomal RNA". It matches the Rfam family "Bacterial small subunit ribosomal RNA", at positions 30 to 507 of the family's 1533-position model. The record is from RNAcentral.